CGAAGGUAGCAUAAUCAGUAGUCUUUUAAUUGAAGGCUGGAAUGAAUGGUUGGAUGAAAUAUUAGCUGUUUCAUUUAAAAUUAUUAUAGAAUUUUAUUUUUUAGUAAAAAAGCUAAAAUUUUAUUAAAAGACGAGAAGACCCUAUAAAUCUUUAUAAAUUAGUUAUAUUAAUUAUAUAGAUUUAUUUAUUUUUUAUAAUUUAGUUUAUUUUAUUGGGGUGAUAUUAAAAUUUAAAAAACUUUUAAUUUAUAUAAAACAUAGAUUUAUGAGUUGAUGAUCCAUUAUUAAUGAUUAAAAAUUUAAGUUACUUUAGGGAUAACAGCGUAAUUUUUUUGGAGAGUUCAUAUCGAUAAAAAAGAUUGCGACCUCGAUGUUGGAUUAA
RNAcentral lists this ribosomal RNA (382 nucleotides) under Mumetopia nigrimana group sp. AT-2015. RNAcentral's name for it is "partial 16S ribosomal RNA". The record is from RNAcentral. Lineage: Eukaryota; Metazoa; Arthropoda; Insecta; Diptera; Anthomyzidae.